AGCAAUGUGGUGUCCACUCAACCCCGCUUCGUCAAGCUGUUCAUUUGGUGAUGCAUGCUCAAUAUAUCUGUCAGGUAAGACAAUUGGUCGCCACUGGAACACAAAAAACAUAUCACAAAGUUGUGGUCACAAAAAACAUAUCACAACGUUGUGAUCACAAAAAACAAAAAUCUAGUCAUACUUUGCAGACAAGCUAUGCCAAGGCUGUGUGUGAUUAUAAAUGCACCAAACACAAUAUAAAAUCACUAGAUCAUCUUUAAAAUGAUAUAAAACUAAAAUAAACAAUUUGCUGCAUGAAAGGGACGCCAAGCUUUCGCAAAUUACACGUACAACACAACAGAAAUAUUCUAGUGCUAAAAUGAUAAAUGUACUAGUAUGACC
RNAcentral lists this long non-coding RNA (381 nucleotides) under Phaseolus vulgaris (common bean). Its description in RNAcentral is "long non-coding RNA (PVUL_LNC001122)". The record is from RNAcentral. Lineage: Eukaryota; Viridiplantae; Streptophyta; Magnoliopsida; Fabales; Fabaceae.